CCUCAGAGUCACGGCGACGGAUGCUUACCACUUCAGCUGCUCGUGUCCCCACUGCACCAGUACAGUAUAUGUGGAACUCGGAACGGCCUCUCAGCCACCCUCAUUCUCACAGAUUUUGAUAACGGCAUUUUGCAAUUUCUGUACAGUUUACGGAAGGACAUCUGCCAAACACAGUUCCCUCCAAGAAUCUGACAUUUUCACGACAGUCGUAGCAACUUUUACUAGCAAUGACAGCAGACCCUGUUUGACUGCACCCUCUCCGGCUCUGAUGAAAGAGAUUUCAUUGGAAUCCACCAUGUGAUGUGCACCAUCCUCCAAGACAAAUCGCACUCCAGAGAUUUUAUGAGCUGUAAGAGGACCCUUUUCACAGGCUUCAAGAAAACCCUGUAAAAAGAACAUGCAACUUUAUGACAUUUGAAACACACAGAUACCAGAGGAGGUCUAAACCCAGAAUAAUGCCUGCUAACUGUUAAACCCAAUGCAGAAGAUAAAGAAAAGUCACACAGUUGGUGAGAACCUAAUACAGGUGUCUCCCGUUCUUCGAAUCUUCGAUUUACAACACCUCUCUGUUACAAAAGACCUACAUUAGUUACCUGUUUUC
Hypanus sabinus (Atlantic stingray) is the source of this 601-nucleotide long non-coding RNA. RefSeq lists it as uncharacterized. The record is from RefSeq and is a predicted model, not a curated record. The transcript is spliced from 4 exons. Lineage: Eukaryota; Metazoa; Chordata; Chondrichthyes; Myliobatiformes; Dasyatidae.